This 2713-nucleotide long non-coding RNA is filed under the name Mus musculus (house mouse). RNAcentral's name for it is "long non-coding RNA chrX:48278892-48281605". The record is from RNAcentral. Lineage: Eukaryota; Metazoa; Chordata; Mammalia; Rodentia; Muridae.
UUUUUUUUUUUUAAUUUUUUUUUUCUUUUUUCUUUUUUUGAGACAGUGUAACCCCAGGCUGGCCUUGGACUCCAAAUCCUCUGUGCUGGCUCUGACCCAUACUUCCAGUCCCUAAUUUCAGCACCCCUUAAAAACUAUGUGUCACCAUACCUGGCCGGCAUGUCUGAUGAUCACCAACAGAUCAAAUUUGACUUUUUCACUGCCUGGCCGUUAGAAGCGAAGCCAGGCAGGCUGUGCUAUUCUAACUCCUGACCAGGGUUAGUCUGAAAGGAAAAUCUUUGCAAGCAGUAACAAAACCCCCAAGUCACAAUUUCGGUUGACAUCCCCAGAUUAUUGAGUCUUGUCAAAGUAAAAACUCACCAUUCUGCAGCAGGCUUGUAUUUGUAGUCAAGGGAACAAGCGAUAGCAAACCAGUGUUCAAAAAAGAAAGUAUUCUAAGUGGAGUCACUUGUUAAUAAGCAAGGGAUGAGCUUUGUGUGGUGACACCCACCUUUAAUCCCAACAGAGUCAGGUGGACUUCUGAUCUACAAAGUGAGUUAGUUCUAGGACAGCCAGAGCUACAUAGUGAGGCCCUGUCUCAAAAAAAGUUAUACUACUAAUAAGCAAGGGAUGUUUGCACUACAGCCGGAAACUAGACAGUGAUUGUGAUUCCCUAGAUAUCACAAGCAAUAUGGAACACUCUUGGGUACAGUCACAUAAAGUGGAAAGGUUAGAAAAUAGGCAGAAGAUCCAGAGAGAAAUUGGGAUGCUCUAGGACUGAGCAUGUGACCCAAAUGACAUUGAACUCCAUAGCCUGUGUGUUCCCGUCAGUCCUUAUUAUGUUUGCCCCUCGUGAGUACAAUAUUGAAAUGUAUUAUACUUGCCCAUGUAAAAGAGGAAUGAACUAUGUAAUGGGUACAGAGCAGAGAUGAGUGCAUUGGCUAGAAUACUUGCCUAGCAUGCACAAGGCUCUGGGCUCAGUUACUAGCACUGUGUAAAGCUCAACAUGACCACACCUCAGCACUCUAGAGGUGGAAAUAAGAAGAUCAGAAGUUCAAGGUUGGCUACAAAGUCAGUUGGAGGCUAGCCUGAGAUACAUGAGACCCUCUCUCCAAAAAAUUGUAAGAUAACCAUUCAGUCGUAUUGUUUGAUCUUAGCAGAAACUGUCAUCACUAUAAUCCCAGCUGAGAAUGUAUAACGAGACAACUGGGUAGGGAAGGAAUCCCCUGUGAGGACUGCUGCAAUGGCCACGCAGGAUAGUGUUAUUUUAAUCUGCAGGGGCCCACAUUGGAGGAGGAGACUGUCCCAAUGGGACAGCUAAAAGGAAGAAUCAGGCAUCCUUUCUAGAGCUCAUCCCAUGGUCAUUUACUGUUGUCACAGCAAAUUGUGACUUGAUUUCCAGGAAUCUCUUGCUUUUGAUUUGUUUGUUGUUUGUUUUAGAGGGGAAUCUUGUGUCUAAUGUACUCAGGCUUUGAAUUUACUAUAUACCUAAACAUGGCCUUGAACAUCUGUUCUUCCUGACUCUUCCCCAGUUCUUCUUUUUUUUUUAAGAUUUAUUCAUUGUUAUAUCUAAGUACACUGUAGCUGUCUUCACACACACCAGAAGAAGGCAUCAGAGCUCCCCACGGAUGGUUAUGAGUCACCAUGUGGUUGCUGAGAUUUGAACUCAGGACCUUCGGAAGAGCAGUCAGUGCUCUCAACCACUGAGCCAUCUCUCCAGCCCCUCUUCCCAAGUUCUUGAAUUAAGUGAUCCCCAACAUCCCCAACGUUCUUUUUAAUUAAUUAGCUCAGCUCAGCGCUUCUCAGCCUUCCUAAUGCUUGUGACUCUUUAAUACAGUUCCUCAUGUUGUGGUGACCUCCAGCUAUAAAAUUAUUUUCGUUGCUGAUUCAUAGCUGUGAUUUUGCUAAUGUUAUGAAUCAUAAUGUAAAGAUGCGAUAUGCAGGAUAUCUGUUAUGUGACCCAUGGCAAAGUGUUCUUCAACCCCAACCACUGAAUUAUCUAGGUACUGUAGGAGCAAUAGAAUGAAGUAUUACGAGACAGGGGAGGACUCCUGAAACUGAACUUAUCUUUCAACCCAUCAGUAACAUAUACAGAAAGAACAUCGGCCCAAACAAAAGAUUUCCUUAGCCUAAAGGGAAAGGAAGCCUUUUUCUUUCAGUACUGGGGUUGGGGAAGUCUUCCUAGAAGGUAAGUACUCUGCUGGAACGGAACUCAAGACAAGGGCCAGGAGUGCAAGGGUUCUAUUCUCUCACACUACUCUUACUUUAUUUGGAGAAAUCACUUCCCCUUUCUAGAUGCCUGUUAGUGCUAAGGGGGUAUUAUCUGCCUGGGGCAACCAGCUCUGCAUCCUCUAAUGCCUUAAGAGGAUGGAGCUGAGCACAGGCACCUGGAAGCAUUCAGGAUUCAGAUUUUGUUUGUUUGUUUGUUUUUCGAGACAGGGUUUCUCGUGUAGCCCUGGCUGUCCUGGAACUCACUCUGUAGACCAGGCUGGCCUCGAAAUCAGAAAUCGGCCUGCCUCUGCCUCCCAAGUGCUGGGAUUAAAGGUGUGCAUCCCCAUGCCCAGCAGGAUUCAGAUUUAAAACAUCAACCAUAAAAAGGAGUUGAGUCGAGCAUGAUGGUACACGCCUUUAAUCUCAGCAGUCAAGAAGCAAAGGUAGAGGAAAGUAGAUCUCUAGAGUUCAGGCCAGCCAGGGCUCCAUAGUGACACUCUGUCUCCAAAAAGAAAAAGGAAGG